AUUGAACGCUGGCGGCAGGCCUAACACAUGCAAGUCGAGCGGUAGCGGAAAGUAGCUUGCUCCUUUGCCGGCGAGCGGCGGACGGGUGAGUCAUGUCUGGGAAACUGCCUGAUGGAGGGGGAUAACUACUGGAAACGGUAGCUAAUACCGCAUAACGUCGCAAGACCAAAGAGGGGGACCUUCGGGCCUCUUGCCAUCAGAUGUGCCCAGAUGGGAUUAGCUAGUAGGUGGGGUAACGGCUCACCUAGGCGACGAUCCCUAGCUGGUCUGAGAGGAUGACCAGCCACACUGGAACUGAGACACGGUCCAGACUCCUACGGGAGGCAGCAGUGGGGAAUAUUGCACAAUGGGCGCAAGCCUGAUGCAGCCAUGCCGCGUGUAUGAAGAAGGCCUUCGGGUUGUAAAGUACUUUCAGCGGGGAGGAAGGUGUUGAGGUUAAUAACCUCAGCAAUUGACGUUACCCGCAGAAGAAGCACCGGCUAACUCCGUG
RNAcentral lists this ribosomal RNA (490 nucleotides) under uncultured bacterium. Its description in RNAcentral is "partial 16S ribosomal RNA". It matches the Rfam family "Bacterial small subunit ribosomal RNA", at positions 30 to 507 of the family's 1533-position model. The record is from RNAcentral.